UACGAAGGGGGCUAGCGUUGUUCGGAAUCACUGGGCGUAAAGGGCGCGUAGGCGGCCUGAUAAGUCGGGGGUGAAAGCCUGUGGCUCAACCACAGAAUUGCCUUCGAUACUGUUAGGCUUGAGACCGGAAGAGGUAAGUGGAACUGCGAGUGUAGAGGUGAAAUUCGUAGAUAUUCGCAAGAACACCAGUGGCGAAGGCGGCUUACUGGUCCGGUUUUGACGCUGAGGCGCGAAAGCGUGGGGAGCAAACAGG
This 253-nucleotide ribosomal RNA is filed under the name uncultured bacterium. RNAcentral describes it as "partial 16S ribosomal RNA". It matches the Rfam family "Bacterial small subunit ribosomal RNA", at positions 524 to 776 of the family's 1533-position model. The record is from RNAcentral.